Colossoma macropomum (tambaqui) is the source of this 1804-nucleotide RNA transcript. It is a transcript of the gene named sodium channel, voltage-gated, type II, beta, with no coding region annotated. Lineage: Eukaryota; Metazoa; Chordata; Actinopteri; Characiformes; Serrasalmidae. The transcript is spliced from 6 exons. The record is from RefSeq and is a predicted model, not a curated record.
ACGGAGCUGAAAUCCUCGCCUCCCCGCCCCAGCAGAACAACUACCGCAACCACAAAAUCAACCUUUUCUACGGCUACAGACACUGCCAGCCAUAACAUAGCACUGGAAAUAAUCCAUAUUAGACAGAUUUUUUAAUGUUUAUAGGCCUAUAACGAACCAAUAGACCUGUGAGGUAACUGAUUUACGAUUUAACGAAAGCAUUUCGUUCCAGGGAUCAAAAUGCCUCUCAUGUUGCCAUCACAGGGGACGUCAGCUGCAUCCUGUGUAGCACUACUGGUAAUUGCGGCUUCCACUGUCUCCUCAAUGGAUGUACUCGUGGCCCAGCAAAUCAAUGCUCUGAAUGGCACAAUGGUCAGGAUCUCCUGCAGCUUCACUUCCUGCUACAGACUAGACCCCACCAAGUUUGCUAUGAACUGGACAUAUCAGGAGACUUUAAAUGACACAGAGGAGAUGUUUAUGACCUUUAAGAACAAAAUAACUCCUUUGAGGACAGAUCGCUUUGGGGACCGGGUAAAGUUUGCUGGGAAUCUGGACAAAAAUGACCUCUCCAUCACCAUCUCAGAUGUGCAGCUAACAGAUGAGGGAAUCUACAACUGCUACGUGCGUAAUCCUCCUGAUCGCAUCCAGGGCCAUGGUAUCAUCCAGCUGUCUGUUGUCACUGAGUUGCCUCCUCCACGGGACUCGACCAUUGCAGUGGCGAUUGGAGCAUCUAUAGGAGGUAUGCUGGCUCUGGUUAUUCUGUCCAUGGUGGUGGUGAAGUGUGUGCGCAGGCACAAGAAACAAGAGCUCAUCUCCGAUGAACAGAAGAUGGAAGAGGAGGGCAAAACAGAUGGAGAAGGGGGUACAGAAGAGGGCACCAAACAACUCUAACCUGGCUGCUCGACCUGGAAGGCCGAAAGUUUGUUGGAGCCCUGACGCUCACAUGCUGAAAUGUAUGCGCCCUGCCUGAAAAUGUAUAUUGAAAUCUGCUUGACUCAUCGUCCUGUGACUGCAUCGCUGCCCAUCCUACGGCACUGUCCUUUCUUGCCUGUGCCAUCAAACAUGUCCGAUUUUGAAAAAACUCAGCCACUGCCACACCUGGGUAUGAGUGCAUUGAGAAGAAACUACAGUGCAGAUCUCCAAACUGCAGAUUCUUCCAUUUGACACUAAGGUUUACAGUAGUAAGAAAGCCAAUGAUCUAAACUACACUUUUUCUGGGACCAUCUUUUGAAACUUUUAGUGUUGUGUCCUCAAACUACUGCCAACUCAUUUGCUGUGUGAUGUUUUAAGAGAUUAUCUUGGGGAGAGGUAUGUUGUUAUUGUCUUUUUGAUCACUGAUUAUUGAUAAAGACAAAGCACACUAUUCCUAAUACUGCCAAAUAUAUUACUAGUUUGAUGAUGUUUCUGGAUAUCAAAACAGUCUUUUAUUUGUUCUUCUGGUCUGGUGUAAAAAAGCUCUCAGAUUCUGUCUCUCUCUUUCUCUGUGAGUCCAUUUGCAAAAGAGAGUGUGUAUAUGUAUAUAUGUGUGUGUGUGUGUGUGUGUGUGUGGGUGUGUGUGUGUGUGUGUGUAAUAUUUGUGUGAAAUAUAAAGGAAUAGUUCAGUCAAAAAGGUAAAGUAGCUAACAAUGAAUGAAUGCAAAUAGCCACCACCUAUUGUUAUGCAAAUGACAUAGUGCUAAUUGGAGCCCACCAGCUUCUAUUCAUUGUUAUCUAUGUUAGUUUCUUUGGUCAAUCUGCUCCUUUAAAGAAAUAUUCAGUCAUAUGUAAAAGUUAGAACACUCCCGUUCAAAUGACAUGUUUUGUUAAUGUUUUCUAAAUGAAAAUG